CGUCCUCUGAAGAUGGGCGGAACAUACAAUACAAUUCUAUAUAAGAAGUUUUGAAUUCUGGUUGGCUAAGGAACUUGGCGCAUGCUCAAAUCUCCUGUUUUUUUAGUCGAACUCCCGCUAUUUUAAAUUGGCGGAGGUUAUGAUUAUUCGACCUUUUA
Xenia sp. Carnegie-2017 is the source of this 158-nucleotide long non-coding RNA. RefSeq lists it as uncharacterized. The transcript is spliced from 3 exons. The record is from RefSeq and is a predicted model, not a curated record. Lineage: Eukaryota; Metazoa; Cnidaria; Anthozoa; Malacalcyonacea; Xeniidae.